RNAcentral lists this ribosomal RNA (606 nucleotides) under Trichoderma asperellum. Its description in RNAcentral is "eukaryotic LSU rRNA". The stretch from base 228 to 381 matches the Rfam family "5.8S ribosomal RNA". Lineage: Eukaryota; Fungi; Ascomycota; Sordariomycetes; Hypocreales; Hypocreaceae. The record is from RNAcentral.
UCGUAACAAGGUCUCCGUUGGUGAACCUGCGGAGGGAUCAUUACCGAGUUUACAACUCCCAAACCCAAUGUGAACGUUACCAAACUGUUGCCUCGGCGGGGUCACGCCCCGGGUGCGUCGCAGCCCCGGAACCAGGCGCCCGCCGGAGGAACCAACCAAACUCUUUCUGUAGUCCCCUCGCGGACGUAUUUCUUUACAGCUCUGAGCAAAAAUUCAAAAUGAAUCAAAACUUUCAACAACGGAUCUCUUGGUUCUGGCAUCGAUGAAGAACGCAGCGAAAUGCGAUAAGUAAUGUGAAUUGCAGAAUUCAGUGAAUCAUCGAAUCUUUGAACGCACAUUGCGCCCGCCAGUAUUCUGGCGGGCAUGCCUGUCCGAGCGUCAUUUCAACCCUCGAACCCCUCCGGGGGAUCGGCGUUGGGGAUCGGGACCCCUCACACGGGUGCCGGCCCCUAAAUACAGUGGCGGUCUCGCCGCAGCCUCUCCUGCGCAGUAGUUUGCACAACUCGCACCGGGAGCGCGGCGCGUCCACGUCCGUAAAACACCCAACUUUCUGAAAUGUUGACCUCGGAUCAGGUAGGAAUACCCGCUGAACUUAAGCAUAUCAAG